CUACACAUGCAAGUCGAGCGGAAGGCCCUUCGGGGUACUCGAGCGGCGAACGGGUGAGUAACACGUGAGUAAUCUGCCCUUGGCUUUGGGAUAACUACCGGAAACGGUGGCUAAUACCGGAUACGACACAGGUGUGCAUGCGCUCUGUGUGGAAAGUUUUUUCGGCCAGGGAUGUGCUCGCGGCCUAUCAGCUUGUUGGUGGGGUAAUGGCCUACCAAGGCUUCGACGGGUAGCCGGCCUGAGAGGGUGACCGGCCACACUGGGACUGAGACACGGCCCAGACUCCUACGGGAGGCAGCAGUGGGGAAUAUUGGACAAUGGGCGGAAGCCUGAUCCAGCAACGCCGCGUGAGGGAUGACGGCCUUCGGGUUGUAAACCUCUUUCAGUACCGACGAAGCGCCGAUGAUGGUGGUGACGGUAGGUACAGAAGAAGCACCGGCCAACUACGUGCCAGCAGCCGCGGUAAUACGUAGGGUGCGAGCGUUGUCCGGAAUUAUUGGGCGUAAAGGGCUCGUAGGCGGUUUGUCGCGUCGGGAGUGAAAACCCAGGGCUUAACUCUGGGCUUGCUUUCGAUACGGGCAGACUAGAGGUAUGCAGGGGAGAACGGAAUUCCUGGUGUAGCGGUGAAAUGCGCAGAUAUCAGGAGGAACACCGGUGGCGAAGGCGGUUCUCUGGGCAUUACCUGACGCUGAGGAGCGAAAGUGUGGGGAGCGAACAGGAUUAGAUACCCUGGUAGUCCACACCGU
Molecule: ribosomal RNA, 746 nt
Filed under: bacterium 157_xplvp365
Lineage: Bacteria
Also listed under: 1 other name
Description: bacterial SSU rRNA
Rfam family: Bacterial small subunit ribosomal RNA
Source: RNAcentral